GAUGAAGAACGCAGCGAAAUGCGAUAAGUAAUGUGAAUUGCAGAAUUCAGUGAAUCAUCGAAUCUUUGAACGCACAUUGCGCCCCUUGGUAUUCCGAGGGGCAUGCCUGUUCGAGCGUCAUAUUAACCACUCCCGCUUGCGGGGUCUUGGGCUUCGCCUCCGGGCGGGCCUUAAAAUCAGUGGCGGUGCCGUCGGGCUCUACGCGUAGUAAAUUUUCUCGCGAUAGGGUCCCGGUGGAUGCUUGCCAACAACCCCCAACUUCUUAAGGUUGCCCUCGGAUCAGGUAGGGAUACCCGCUGAACUUAAGCAUAUCAAUAAGCGGAGGA
Molecule: unclassified non-coding RNA, 326 nt
Filed under: soil metagenome
Description: partial contains 5.8S ribosomal RNA, internal transcribed spacer 2, and large subunit ribosomal RNA
Rfam family: 5.8S ribosomal RNA (bases 1-120)
Source: RNAcentral